Molecule: ribosomal RNA, 158 nt
Filed under: uncultured bacterium
Lineage: Bacteria
Description: partial 16S ribosomal RNA
Rfam family: Bacterial small subunit ribosomal RNA
Source: RNAcentral
UGAGGAAUAUUGGUCAAUGGGCGGAGCCUGAACCAGCCAAGUCGCGUGAGGGAAGACGGUCCUAUGGAUUGUAAACCUCUUUUGUCGGGGAGCAAAGAGGCCACGUGUGGUCAAAAGCGAGAGUACCCGAAGAAAAAGCAUCGGCUAACUCCGUCGCC